CUGGCCAUGCUGUCAGGGGCACUGAAUGUGCUGGCUGUUGUAGCAGGACUGAGAUGAGUGCUGAGAUUUGACCUGCCACCCCGCUCCUCCUGUUGUAAACAAAAAAGUCUUUUGGGGAAAUUCUCACAGUACAGUGGAGAAAGCACUAGUCAAAUCACAGGGAAUAAAGCAUGAUGGGAGAGGAGCUUUUGGGCAAACACCUACCUCACCUGAUGAUGAUGAUAAACACCAGUGGCUGGAAAUCUCUGUUGAGACCAAUGUCUGCUUGUCUUCAUCACUUCAGAUGCUGUGAUAAUCCAGAUGCAGAGAAAGGGAAGCAAGUUCAGACUGUUUUCAGGUGCUGGUGGUUGCCCACACAAGGAGAAGGCAUUAUCAUGCCUAGAAGGAGA
This 389-nucleotide long non-coding RNA is filed under the name Cyanistes caeruleus (blue tit). RNAcentral's name for it is "lncRNA (ENSCCEG00000015812.1)". Lineage: Eukaryota; Metazoa; Chordata; Aves; Passeriformes; Paridae. The record is from RNAcentral.